AAAGCGAGGGCCUCACCCUAGGUUUCCCUUCUCCUCCUUGCUCCCCCUCCGUGCCACCACCGCAGAGUAAGUCCCGCGUCGCACCACCAUAGUCGUUGCUCGCCAUGGCCAGAGAGGGAGAAAGCUCCUCUCCGGCAUGAUCGUUACAGCCGCAGCCCCCUCGACGACGGAAUCCCGACAAGGAUUCACAACACAUCACCGUCGUCGUGCAGCAACCCGGGCCAGAUCCGAGCGUCAGCAGGUAGUGGAGGUAGCCGCUGUCCCAUUCCCCUCGCUUUUUCCCAGAUCCAGGCGUGUGUCCUCCCAUGUAGGCCUCGCCGUCACUUUGCACCCCGCGCCUCGGCGCUUCUCUGAUGGAGUUCUUCAAAGAGGGGUUUUGGUUUAUUUCGCGUCCCCUUCCUCGCGCAUGCUUUAGUAGUUUUCCGCAGCUCGCGUGUGGAAAUAUGCGUCGCCCCGCCGCAUCCGCGAGCGCUCGCCAUCGCCUUGCUUCGUCUUCAGCCCCGCCAUGCAAUGGCUGAGUAGAGAUCCUCCUCGAGCUUGAAGCGAGCCCCUUCGCCCCGCAACCUUCCCUCGGCAUAGCGAAUGAGCUCCCCCCCCCCCCUCGUUCUCCUGGGCUGUUGGUCGCUAGAGUGGCCGUCAUUUUGCUUGAUCUAAGAAGCGAGAAACCGAUUAGAUCCGACGCCGUAGCGUAGCCCAGUGGUAGCAGGUGUAGUGCUCCACCACGAUGUCUCUGAUUCGUAUCCUCCCAAGCCCCCAUUCUUUUCUCUCAGUGUUAAAUGGAAUAGCUGACGAGAGCGCUAUGGCCCACCUGUCAUUCAGCUAGGGGGCCUUGGUGUCACUAUCACUGGUGCCCCCCGCGGGAUUAUUUUUGUUUAUAGGGCAAGUUCCAAAUCUAUCCAUGUCCAUUUUGAGCAUAUGCUAAUUUGGCAUAUACUAGGUUAUACCUAGUUAAUUGCAUUUUGAGUUGUAGUUUGUGGGUGAUUUGUCUACAGGAGCAUAUGCUUAUGAUAUGUAAUUUUGGGGUAGAAAAGUCCAAGGAAUCCAAUGAUGACAUUAGUUUUGUCUUUUUAGCAAGUUGAUGUGCAUGCUAUUUGACACCAUGAUGCCUAUUUUUUUUUUGUGGAGCAAGCCUUGCACCCUUUGCCAAACUUGUCAAAUGAAAGUUGUAGUAUUUUGGGAGUGCUAGGCCCUGGUAUUUUUAUUCGCCUUGAAAACCCUGUAUAUUUGUAGCUUUCUUGCUCGAAACAUGCCAUCUCAAUAUUGUUGCUUGGGUAUGUUGAAAGAUGACUAAGUGUGAAAACUAUUUCAAAUAGUUGUGUUGGCAUGACGAUUGCCAAGCAUAUACUAGUUCUUUGUGUUGGAAUUGUGGUGUGAAUUAAAUAGCAUGUUGCCCUCUAUUAAAUGGAGUCAUUACUUUGAAAAAUAGGCCUUGCAUCUUAGCUAUUGUUGCUGUCAAACAUGCCGUGUUGUUGUAAACUGCUGUGAAUUCACCCUGUGAAAUUUGACUAAGUUUGAGAAUCUGCUUAUAUCAUCAUGCCAUGUUUAGAGGAGGCUACCAUUGUUUUUGUUCAGUUUUGGCUCAUGGUUAGUGGGAGUGAAUUUUAGUGAUUGUUGUCCUCUACGAGCCUGUCAAAUUUCAUGCUAUGAAACUUACUGUAGAAUAGAGUUUUAUUGCUAUCAACAUGCCAUCAUGAUAAAACUGCUAGUAUAAAACUGAAAUUUUCACCAAGUCCUAAUUUGUUAUAAUUGUUGCCAUAUUAGGAUCUUGAUUGCCAUUGGUUCAUGAACAUAUCCAUGUUGAUUUUAGUUAGGGGUUGUUGUACUCUUUUUUAGCUUCAUAUCCAUGUUUGGGUUGAACUUGAUGGGCGCUGUAGCUAUUCGUUUUCAUCUGAACAAAGUGGUAUGUUGCUGUUUGUGGACAUAUUGCUUGUUGGAUUGUUUCGUGCUUUGUUUUAGUUGUGCUCCUUUGUUUGGAAUUAAAUUUAGGUCUACUUAACCAAUAAUUUCGUUCCCAAUCCUGUGGAACACUUGGAAUGCUAAGGAAUUUCCCAUAUCCGCUCUCAAAUUCUGUUUUUAUCAUCAUUGCCUUCUGUAUCUUGUCGUGAGAGUUUCGAGAGAUCUGUAACUCGGUUUGUGACGUUCUUUAUAUGCAUUUGUAUAAUUUUAUCAUUAUGCAUUUAUUUUUUCCAUGUCAUGCAUGUCGAAAUAAUUACUCUUGAGGUUCUAUACAGAAUGGUAAUAACUAAAUAAUUGCAUGAGAAAGAUGACUAGUGUAGCAUUGCCCUGCUUCAUUCAUACCAUACUCAUGUAUCAUAUUGUCUGAAGAAUUGUGCCUUGUUGUGUGUUCAUUGGAUGUUGUAUUUUAUUUUUGGUACUAUCAAGUGCAGAGAACGAGUACGGGUAUCCCGUUGAGAACGUUCCUGAAGAGCUAGACUUUUAUCCCUCAGAAGAAGUGCUAGGCAAGAUGAUCGUGACCUUGAUAUCGUUUAUAAUUUUUUAUGAUUAGCUUUCUCAUUUCCAUAGCUAUUUAUUUCUGCCUACCACCUGAAUAUCAAGCUUCCAAACAUUGCCUUGAAAAGCCUCUAACCCCUCCACAUCCUAGCAAACGUUAAUUAGCUAAGUUAGCGCUUUCUCAAACCUUCUUAUAGCGUUGCUAGUUGCAGGUACAGGUUAAUACAUGUGUUGACAUGGAAAUUUGGAAUAUCAUCUUAUUAUUUCUAUUUAAAUUAGUGCACAUAUAUACCUUGUGAAGGCGGAAGGAUUGGCCUUUUUCUCGGUGUUUUGUUCCUCUUUUGCCGCCCUAGUUUCCGGUUACUUGUGUCAUGUUCCAUAUUGAGUGCUCUUAAAACAGUUGGGGUUGUCAUGAGGACCCCCUUGAUAAUUCAUUUUGAGUUAAGACUCUUCCGGCAAAGCCAAACAUUGAUAUUAAAUUUGCUAAAGAACUUAAUAAAAAUGCAUAGGGAAUAGCUACCCCAUGGAUCUUAAUCAAGAACCCGGGCGAGUGCUCCUCAUGAGUAUUGGUCCAAACCAAGCGAUGUUCAGCGGCUCCUAGUCACCGGGGGUUUCAGCCAAAUCGACGUCUAGCUCAUCUGGUAGUGCCGUGAGAAAGAGAUACGUGUGGGUCCUAUUGGGAUCUAGCCUACUGGGCGGUCUUGCUGGAAUUUUUUUACUCUUUAUUAAUGUCUUGUCCACUCGGAUAUCGGUGAUACGUUGGGCUACCUUGAGGUUGAGGUUUUCUCUCCAGAGCAGCUUGUGAUAGUUUGUGAUGGACUAGUUGGAGCAUCCCUACAGGGUUAAUAUCUUUCUGAAAGCCAUGCAUGCGGUUAUGUGGCAACUUGGAAAUUUGUUUAACAUCUAGUUAUAGAAAAAUUGAAGUAAACUCAAUUAAAACCUGCCAACUAUGUGCGUAACUAUGAUUGUCUGUGCUCGUUAGUUUCUACUCCGACUCAGGACACGAUGGGGUUAUGUCUGACGUAAGUAGGUGUUCAGGAUCACCUCUAGAUCAUUUUCAUCUCACGCCUGUUUAUUCGUAAACUGCCCAAUUUAAAUUAUGUUCUCGUAAGAUAUCCACCAAAUAUUGCUUAGUGUUGCUCCAACCUCACCACUUAACCAUGCCGCACCCAAUAACUUAAUUAGUCUUGAUAUCAUGGUCGCAAGAUUGUUGACUCCCCGUGGCUCACAAAUUACUACAACACCACAGGUACAGGUACCUAAUGACCACAAGUAUAGAAGAUCGGUCGUAGUCGUUUAGAUAAGUAAUUGUGUCAAACCCAACAAGGAAAAGAAGGAAAUGACAAGCGGUUUUCAACAAGGUAAUUUCGCAAGCAUUGAAAUAGAGGUAACAAGUUGCUUGAUAGGAAGAUAAUUGUAACAAGCAACGAGUAGCAAUAGUAAUGAUAAGUGCAGAAAGGUAGCCAAUCCUUUUUUGGCAAAGGACAAACUGGAAUAGUUUCUUAUAAUAGGCAAAGCAUUCUUGAGGGCA
Molecule: long non-coding RNA, 3982 nt
Organism: Hordeum vulgare subsp. vulgare (domesticated barley)
Lineage: Eukaryota; Viridiplantae; Streptophyta; Magnoliopsida; Poales; Poaceae
Exons: 2
Source: RefSeq, a predicted model, not a curated record